This 502-nucleotide ribosomal RNA is filed under the name uncultured bacterium. RNAcentral's name for it is "partial 16S ribosomal RNA". It matches the Rfam family "Bacterial small subunit ribosomal RNA", at positions 30 to 523 of the family's 1533-position model. The record is from RNAcentral.
AUUGAACGCUGGCGGCAUGCCUUACACAUGCAAGUCGAACGGCAGCAUAGGAGCUUGCUCCUGAUGGCGAGUGGCGAACGGGUGAGUAAUAUAUCGGAACGUGCCCUAGAGUGGGGGAUAACUAGUCGAAAGAUUAGCUAAUACCGCAUACGAUCUACGGAUGAAAGUGGGGGAUCGCAAGACCUCAUGCUCCUGGAGCGGCCGAUAUCUGAUUAGCUAGUUGGUGGGGUAAAAGCCUACCAAGGCGACGAUCAGUAGCUGGUCUGAGAGGACGACCAGCCACACUGGGACUGAGACACGGCCCAGACGCCUACGGGAGGCAGCAGUGGGGAAUUGUGGACAAUGGGGGCAACCCUGAUCCAGCAAUGCCGCGUGAGUGAAGAAGGCCUUCGGGUUGUAAAGCUCUUUUGUCAGGGAAGAAACGGUUCUGGAUAAUACCCAGAGCUAAUGACGGUACCUGAAGAAUAAGCACCGGCUAACUACGUGCCAGCCGCCGCGGUAA